CGGAGACGGAGAGAGGCAGGCAGCUUGGAGAGCAGAGAAAGGCAGAGAGAGCGAGAAAUAGAGACAGUCUGAGAGACAGACAGACAGCCAGAGAGAGCGGGAGGGAGGAGGGCGGAGGAGGAGGAGCAGGAGGACUACGCGGGGCGCGUUCCCUCCCAGCCGGGCGCCCGCGUCGCUGCCACCGCCGGAAGACAGACGUCCCCCAAAACCCCUCGCCUGGCUCGGACCCACGGAGCCGGCAGCCCAGCACUCCGAUGGGAGCUUGCCUGAUUGUCAACCCAUCGGCCUGGACCCCAGAGCCCACCCAGCUGAGCGUGUGCAGAGGGCCCCGAGUGCGGGGCGACGCUCAGGCCGUUGCAGAGACCACCCUGGAGAUGCUGAUGAAGACAGGCCUUUCCUGCUGAGCCCAGCCUAUCUUCGCAGCCUGCUCAGGUAACAGUGUGCA
Molecule: long non-coding RNA, 445 nt
Filed under: Pan troglodytes (chimpanzee)
Lineage: Eukaryota; Metazoa; Chordata; Mammalia; Primates; Hominidae
Description: long non-coding RNA NONPTRT000930
Source: RNAcentral